Molecule: transfer RNA, 62 nt
Filed under: Ergasilus tumidus
Lineage: Eukaryota; Metazoa; Arthropoda; Copepoda; Poecilostomatoida; Ergasilidae
Description: tRNA-Gln
Source: RNAcentral
UAUGUAAAAGUGUUUCACAUAAGAUUUUGAUUCUUAAAAUUCUAUUAGUUUAGAUUACAUAA